GAGGAACUCAGCACGUCAGGCAGCAUCUAGAAAGAAGUAAGGAGUCGACAUUUCAAGCUGAAAUCCUUCAUCAGGACUCCUGGUGUCCAGACAAACAACAUACCUCCUCAGCCCGAAAUCUAUCAAUAUCAGCGUCCGCAAACAAUCUGGAGAGUCACCAAUAUGAGAGGAGGAAAAUGGUCAAGCAAAGGAAGUCUGAAGCAAAACGGGUGGCUGAAUAAUACAAAAGAAACAGCAGCAACAAAAUAGAAGCGAGCACUGCUAAUUUUGCAAAGACAGCACGCCAGGAAAGGGGAAAAGAAAGAGAAGAACGGCAGGCAGAAAUGGCCAGUCUGAUACAAAAAGAAAGAAAGAUCGAGCUUUCAAAAAUGUGGAGAACUUGAUAUUGCGACGUACAAGGAGCAAGGUGACCAGAGAGAAGGUGAUGUGCUGCUCCUCAAGCUAGCAUUGGGCCUCAUUGUAACAGCACCGAAGGCCAGAGACACAGAGAUCAGGGUGGGAGUAGGAUGAGGAAUUAAAGUGAUGCGCAGCAAAAAGCUCAGGAUCUCUCUGCAAAGGCUGUCUCUUCCUCUUUAAAGUUUACA
Molecule: long non-coding RNA, 584 nt
Organism: Mobula hypostoma (lesser devil ray)
Lineage: Eukaryota; Metazoa; Chordata; Chondrichthyes; Myliobatiformes; Myliobatidae
Exons: 3
Source: RefSeq, a predicted model, not a curated record